RNAcentral lists this ribosomal RNA (312 nucleotides) under uncultured Prevotella sp. Its description in RNAcentral is "bacterial SSU rRNA". It matches the Rfam family "Bacterial small subunit ribosomal RNA", at positions 219 to 524 of the family's 1533-position model. Lineage: Bacteria; Pseudomonadati; Bacteroidota; Bacteroidia; Bacteroidales; Prevotellaceae. The record is from RNAcentral.
UAUGGAUGGGGGAUGCGUCUGAUUAGCUUGUUUGGCGGGGUAACGGCCCACCCAAGGCUACGAUCCAGUAGGGGUUCUGAGAGGAAGGUCCCCCACAUUGGAACUGAGACACGGUCCAAACUCCUACGGGAGGCAGCAGUGAGGAAUAUUGGUCAAUGGGCGAGAGCCUGAACCAGCCAAGUAGCGUGCAGGAUGACGGCCCUAUGGGUUGUAAACUGCUUUUAUAUGGGAAUAAAGUGAGGGGACGUGUCCCUUAUUGCAUGUACCAUACGAAUAAGGACCGGCUAAUUCCGUGCCAGCAGCCGCGGUAAU